Molecule: ribosomal RNA, 463 nt
Filed under: uncultured bacterium
Lineage: Bacteria
Description: partial 16S ribosomal RNA
Rfam family: Bacterial small subunit ribosomal RNA
Source: RNAcentral
CUACGGGAUCACCAGUGGGGAAUAUUGCACAAUGGGCGCAAGCCUGAUGCAGCCAUGCCGCGUGUAUGAAGAAGGCCUUCGGGUUGUAAAGUACUUUCAGCGGGGAGGAAGGGAGUAAAGUUAAUACCUUUGCUCAUUGACGUUACCCGCAGAAGAAGCACCGGCUAACUCCGUGCCAGCAGCCGCGGUAAUACGGAGGGUGCAAGCGUUAAUCGGAAUUACUGGGCGUAAAGCGCACGCAGGCGGUUUGUUAAGUCAGAUGUGAAAUCCCCGGGCUCAACCUGGGAACUGCAUCUGAUACUGGAAAGCUUGAGUCACGGAGAGGGGGGUAGAAUUCCAGGUGUAGCGGUGAAAUGCGUAGAGAUCUGGAGGAAUACCGGUGGCGAAGGCGGCCCCCUGGACGAAGACUGACGCUCAGGUGCGAAAGCGUGGGGAGCAAACAGGAUUAGAUACCCCAGUAGUC